Heterocephalus glaber (naked mole-rat) is the source of this 595-nucleotide non-coding RNA. NCBI's taxonomy places the organism in Eukaryota, Metazoa, Chordata, Mammalia, Rodentia, Bathyergidae. The record is from RefSeq and is a predicted model, not a curated record.
UGAACUCGGGUCCUUGCGCUUGCACAGCAGGCGACGAAACCACUGGGCUAAAUUCCCGGCCCGUAUAAUCCUCAUAUUAUGGGACACAAAUAAUUUGGGAAAUAAGAUCACCAUGACCACAUGACUCCCAUCGUGUCUUCUGAAUUAGCAUAGAUGAUAAAUUUAUUUCUACAAAGUUUUAGGGUUCAAACCACUUGUUGAUUGGUUGCAAGUUGGUGAUUGCCCAAUGCAUCUGUAACAAGAAUACUCCAUUCUUCACCCACGGUACACACAGGGUUACAAUGAGUCCCAAGAAGGAAUUUGCCUGAGUACUUCAUAAAACAUCUAUGUAAAACAAAUCAUAAACCCAGGAAGGAAAAUAUUAGGAUCUUCCUCAUAUGUUCACAGUGUGCAAAGAAACUUCCAUAUGUUGGCGUUCAUAGCACUUUUAUCCAAAAUUGCCACAGACUGGGAAUGAUCCAGAUAUUCUUUAGUGGUGAAUGGUUGAACAAACCGGUACAUCUGUACCAUGGACUAUAACUAUUGACUAUAUUCAGCAAUAUCGAUGAACCUCAAGGAAAUUGUACUGAAUAAAAAAGCUAAUCUCCAAAAGGUA